Molecule: ribosomal RNA, 207 nt
Filed under: uncultured bacterium
Lineage: Bacteria
Description: partial 16S ribosomal RNA
Rfam family: Bacterial small subunit ribosomal RNA
Source: RNAcentral
CGUGUAGGCGGACUGGAAAGUCGGAUGUGAAAUCCCCGGGCUCAACCCGGGAACUGCAUUCGAAACUCCUAGUCUCGAGUGAUGGAGAGGGUAGUGGAAUUCCCGGUGUAGAGGUGAAAUUCGUAGAUAUCGGGAGGAACACCAGUGGCGAAGGCGGCUGCCUGGACAUCAACUGACGCUGAGACGCGAAAGCGUGGGGAGCAAACA